This 301-nucleotide ribosomal RNA is filed under the name uncultured bacterium. RNAcentral describes it as "partial 16S ribosomal RNA". It matches the Rfam family "Bacterial small subunit ribosomal RNA", at positions 509 to 807 of the family's 1533-position model. The record is from RNAcentral.
CAGUCGCCGCGGUAAUACGAAGGGGGCUAGCGUUGCUCGGAAUGACUGGGCGUAAAGGGCGCGUAGGCGGAUUGUUUAGUUAGGCGUGAAAUUCCUGAGCUUAACCUGGGGACUGCGCUUAAUACAGGCAGUCUAGAGUGAGGAAGAGGGUUGUGGAAUUCCCAGUGUAGAGGUGAAAUUCGUAGAUAUUGGGAAGAACACCGGUGGCGAAGGCGGCAACCUGGUCCUUGACUGACGCUGAGGCGCGAAAGCGUGGGGAGCAAACAGGAUUAGAUACCCCUGUAGUCCCUGUCUCUUAUAC